CCAGGGUUGUAGUUGGGGGCGCUUGCUGCGUUUAACUGUAGGAGGUGCCAUGAUGUCAAGUUGAGAGGAGAGAGUGGAGUUGUAGAGUGUGGUUGCAGAGUUAGGGCAGUUGUGAUUUGAGAUGGGUAAAAGGAGUGUUUGGAGUUUGGUGGAGAAGUGCUGGAGAUCGAGGGAGUUGAGGUUUCUGCGAGCUUGGAGAGU
This is a non-coding RNA of Pelobates cultripes (western spadefoot toad), 201 nucleotides long. The record is from the annotation of a GenBank genome assembly. NCBI's taxonomy places the organism in Eukaryota, Metazoa, Chordata, Amphibia, Anura, Pelobatidae.